This 15732-nucleotide long non-coding RNA is filed under the name Marmota monax (woodchuck). The stretch from base 6986 to 7057 matches the Rfam family "tRNA". The record is from RNAcentral. Lineage: Eukaryota; Metazoa; Chordata; Mammalia; Rodentia; Sciuridae.
AUUCUGCUUAGGGAAUGCUUACAAGUGGACCAGGAAGGAUUAGGAAAUAGGAAGCAGCCAGUCUGGCUCCUACUCUGUGCCCACAAGCUGAGCAGCCUUCCGUGGAUGAACAGUGGUCAAUUCUAGGAAAAGGUAUGUUUCCCCCACUUUUAUCUUCCUCCAUAUUGUUUGAACUCUUUUAAUGGUGCAUAUUAAUUUAAAUAAAAAAGAAUAUUUUUUUUCUUUUAAAUCUUUGUAAAGAGUUGGAGGAGAGUUUAAAAUAAGCCAGGAUGUAGUGGGAGUUGGCAAUGUGGAUGAGUUUGCUUUUUUUAAUGUGUCUGUAUUACACACUUGUAUUUUUUUAAAUAUUGAAGAAAAAUGCUUGAUUGAAUUCACAGUGAAGCUGACUGCCCUUUAGGCAGUUAAGCCAAAUUGACAUUUCUGUAUGGGUUUAAUUUAACUUUUUAUUUUUAUAUUGAUGGUUGUUGAUUCCUUGCCUAAUAAUAAAAUCUAUAUUUAUUAUUUGAAUGUAUAACUACUCCUGUUUCUUCUCAAAGUUCAUUGAGAUCCACUAACAAAUGGAAGACCUUUUUUUAAUAUUUAUUUUUUAGGUUUAAGUGGACACAAUAUCUUUAUUUUACAUUUAUGUGGUGCUGAGGAUCGAACCCAGUGCCUCAUGCAUGCUAGGUGAGUGCUCUCCCACUGAGCCACAACCCCAACCCCUGGAAGACUGUUUUUAAAGAGAAUAAAGUAUAGGUAAUUACACUGAAAUAAAAUUAGAAGGAAAUAUGCCUAUGCAAAAAAGAUUAUUUUAAAAUAAUUGUAUUUUGAAGAACUAAUAUCAGAUCUUUAUAAACAUCAUUAUGGAAUAUAUCUCAGCACUCUCCACCAGCUCUCUGUUCACCUCUAUUAAUCUGGCUGAGAAAAAGUCAUGUAGUUUAUCUUCCAUAUGAAUAUAAAUUAUUUAUAUAAAUAACUUUUUUCAUCCAUCCAUUGCUGGAUGGAUUCUCACUAAAUUUUAAGAGUAUUUGAGGCCCACAUUUAUUUAAAAUAAAGGCUGUACCAUGAGCCAGAUAUUAUAUUAGGAGGUGUGGAAGUCAUUUCAGAGUGUCUAGAAUUGAAAAUAAGAAUUUAUUAAAUUUGGAGAUUCAGUUUUGAGACAAUCAAUCCUAAAACAUAGCCUUUGGAAUGUAACCAGAAUUCCCUUUAGGUUUUUUUAAGGACACCCUCAAAAGGGCAGUCAUCCUGGCAGAUGGCUGACAAGAAGGCCACAGCAAGAGGUUGCAGGAUAGCUGAGCUGGGCGAGGUUGGCCUCCAACAGAGGAAAAUUGCCCAGCAGUUUCCUAUACAUGCCCUGCUUGGAAGUCACAGGGCAGAACCUAUGGGGAACAUGUAUGCCAGCCAGGAUGAUUCACCUGAACAAUGAUUUACUGAUGAUUCAUUGAAAGCUGAAUUUAAUGAUUCCACAGUAGGAGCACCGAGAAUGGUAGCUGGAAACAGUAGUGGUAACAGCUAAUAUGCUGGAGGGUUGACGUAGAUGUGCCAUUGCUGAUACCACGUCCUUUAUAAGUCUGGGCCCUUCCAAUCCUGACAAGUGACCAAUGAGGUAAACUAUCCAGUCAUAUCCAAGAGAAGUAACAGAGGUUCUGAACGAUGGAGUACUUUUCUCAGGGGACACCUGUGAUGGCAGAGGCACUGAUGCCUGGGCAAGGAUGUGAGCAUACAGUUCUAAGUUUCUGGUCCCCCACUGAUAACUGUGUAGCCUGAGAAGUUUCUGGUUCAUUAACUUUGUGACACUCUGGUUUCUUGUCCAUAAAAUGGGGAAAUGAUAGCAUCCUUUCUGCAGAACUGAGAUGAGGGUUACAUAAGUCAAUAAAUUCAAACUCUUAAAUGAUGUUUCCCAUUGACACCCAAAUGAAGAAUGGGAAAGGACAGAGUAAGGAGGUGGCUGGCAAGCCGGAAAUGGCAGCCAAGUACCAUAAGGCUUCCUGGAGGAUUUAAAAUGAUAACACGAUUGGUGACUAAUUGGGAUCCUCCCUGCUCUGUCAUGACCUUAAUUCCUCACACUGCUCACCUCUCUUGAAGUCCUCAUUGUUUUCCAGUUGUCUCUUGGUCUUCUGUUGAAUAUCACAAAGGAAUCCAAUGGUGAAGAGGGACAAUCCUACCAAUCGAAGAGGUUUAAACCAUGUAUAUGUGGCACCAAUUGAUUGAGCUACACUGAUGGAGCCAGUCACUUUUUGGUUCAGGUAGAUAAUUAAUGGGGUGGUUGUCAGUGUGUUACCUGGAUGAGACAGGUGUGUUUUAGUAAAGUGCUAUCGAAUCCUAUUUGUGCCCUUAUUCCUUUACCAAGUUGCCCAAACCAUGGGGUUUUCUUGUGUCCUAUUGGCCUGGUUGACAUAACCCAGAAAUUGAUACCUUUACUGCCUGUUUAUUUUCCACUGAAAUCAAUUUGGGGAAAAAAUAAAUAAAAAGCAAAACAGAAAAGCUGGCAUCCUUUUGACUAAAUGAUAAUAAUAUAGAGGGGAAGAUAAGAUCAAUAUUCCUGGGGGUGAGAAGAGAAGUUAUGAAGUCACAGAAGAUUGCAGCAUAGUUUCAGGAACAUAAACACACACACACACACACACACACACAAAACAAAACAAAACAAAACAAAACAAAACAACAAGAACAACAACCAAACGGCUGAAAAAAAAGUCUUGAAGUAAUGACACUGCAUGGGCUCAUGAAAGGCUUCAUGAUCACCUCUUUUUAAGGAACAAAGCCAAAGCUGAGGCAUUUGAGAAUGAGAAGAAGAUAUACACCUGGAGAAAGAGAAAAUCCUGUAGUCUAAUUUUUCCAGAAGGACGUUUCAGGAGACCGAGAAACAUUCUACCAAAGAGUUCCUUGAUUCCUUCACACCUUAGAGUGGUAUUAUUCUGUUUGUGAAUUUCAAUUAAUGCUCUCCCUAGGCCAGCCCUUGGCUUGGGCUUAGAAUGAGCUUUCCUUCCCACCCAACCUGAAUGUGGGCAACACCUCUGUUGGCUAACUAGCAAUAGUCCCUAUGAGAGAGCAGACCAUUUUCUGGCACAAUUUUGAACCAAUCACUUUGGGUGAGUAAUGGAGGUGUUUGGAUUCUGUGCAAUUACAGGUUACUGUAUGCCAUGCAUCAUGCUACUCAGCGAGUUUCUUCCCAUAGGCAGUGGAGACAAUCAUUCCCUGUAUCCCGUGUUCUAGAAACAUCCAAAUUGAUGGAUCAUUUCUUAGAGUAGAAGUCCCACGGUCUCCAGCUAACCUGAAUAGAUUUGCUAUUUCUGUCACCCAGAAAGUUCCCAUAGUGUUCCAGUUGGUGUUCUUGCCUGCCACAGGUCACUCUCAAAAAUACCCUAAAUUGCAAACUUGACCUCCGUUACUGUGACUGUCUAUGGACCUCCCCAGCCCUGUGUGUCUCCACCUCACAUGCUGUGCUCGGUAAAGACAAGCUGCAGCAGUUCUCCACAGGCUCCAGGGCUUUACCUUUAUUUAUAACCUUGCUUCUGUCUGGGAUACUCCUUUCCAUUACUCAUCUUUCAGGCAUGAAUUCAGGUGUGAUACUCAUUUCUUAAACUCCUGGGGAUUCCCUGGGUGCCCUGGCCAUUGUUCUUUAGAAGCACUCAUCUCAAGAUUAUGUGCCCAUCUUCCAGAUGGGUCUAAAACCCACCUUGGGCAAGAAGCUUGCUAUUUAUUUCUGAGCAUCUAGCACCUUACACGGUACCUGACACUGAGUAGACACCAACUGAAGGUUUGCUGAGCUAUCUGGUUUCUGACACCCAUGGAGAUACAUUCUCAUGGGAUCCACGCCCACACAGCCCAUGACUUUCCCUGGGGUCAACUGAGGUGGGCCUGGACCUGAGGCUUGAGGUGACUGACAUCUUCCCCUAGCAUGCACAGCCAGUCCUGAGCACAGCUGAGGGAGACUAACCAAGCCUUGUGAGAGCAUGGACAAAAUAUUCAAACCUCCUCCCUCUGCUUGUUUGGUCAUUCGGAGAUGGUUUUUGUCACUCCAUUCUCAUGCUCUGUGGUCUCCUGUGCUUUCUGGCCAUCCAGCAUGCUUGAUGUACGCUGACUGCUGCACCCACCCAGCUCAGGACACACAGGUCUUUCAGAGGCUCCACUGGACCGUGGUAAAUGGCUUUCCAGUGUGGGCUGUGGCUAAAGUCUUCUAGAGAUUGUGCCUGAGUGAGGGAAAGGAAGAACAAUAAAGACUCUUUGUUCCCCAUUUUCCCCAACAUUCCCCUUCCUCCUCCUUCUGCUUCCCAUCUGAUGGAAAGUGAGGAGAUGAUGUAGCCCUCAGGGAGUUGUCCAAAGCAGCUGGUGUGCAGACUUCAUGAGAAGGGUGAGGUGGGGAGCUUCUGGAUGUGGGCAGCAUGCUUUUCCCCAUCAGCCCAAAGGACACCCUGGAGAGUGGUGAGGAAAUCAGCUUGUGCCCUCCUGACUCCUAAGUGCACACCUAAGUGCAUGAGCACACAUGUGCACACACCACACACCAUACAGACACAUACAUGCUGCAUACCAGACACACAUAACAUAUACCAUGUAUACCACACAUACCCAUACACACCACCCUCCCACACACACCACACUCCAUACACACUGCUUACCACACAGACAUACCAUGUACUAUAAACCACAUAUACCACACAUGCCACAAUACACUGCACACACACACACACACACACACAGCAUACCACAUACACCACACACCAUACACCAUAUAUAUCACAGAGAUCACAUAUAUACCAUACAAGCACAUUGUACACAUACCACAUAUAUCCCAUACACCCACAUAAUCAUACUGCACAUACCACCAUGCAUAUCAUACACUAUACAUACCUCACAAACCAUUCCUAGACACUAUACCACACAAACCACCCACAUGCACACACACACACACACAAACACAAGCAUGCACAUACACACUCCCUAUAGACACAUGGGACACACCAUAACACACACACACACAUGUAUACCACACACAUUUUUAAUUUUUUGGCAAACCCCACUCCUAUGUGAGGGUAUAUCCUGGGGACUAAUGAUAGAGUGAGGGGGAAUGAAGGAUACCAUCCAUGAAUAGCCCUUAAAUAAACAAGAAAAUUGUUUUUUUUUUUUUUGGUUUUUUUUUAAUCUUCAUUGGUUUCUUGGUUGUAGGAAAGAGGGAGAGCCUGUUAUAGGUCAGGGAGAAUUGGGCAUAAGAUUAAUCUCCAAAGUGACUCUUGUGAUAGGCAUACACAUAGUUGUAAAUUCUUUAAAUUUCUUUUGUCUUUGAAUAAAGAUAAUAGCUGUGAGCAGGGGACGAGAGGAGAGUAGGCAUAGAGGGCAUUUUUCAGCAGGAGUAAAGCCUCUUCAUGAUUUAUUACUUGAUUAGGUUCCAGCAACUGUGCAGUUGAUAUUCUUAUUCAGGAUAACAGGAGCUUGGUUGGGAUAAAUAAAAAUAUAACUAGUUUGUACCGCUUGAUCUAAGAUGUUCUUCAUGCUCAAAUGGGUAUUUUGGGGAAUUUGGAUACAAGGUGAGCCCCCAAAGCUCCUGUGUUAAUGCAGGAAUAUUCAGGGCUAAAAUGAUGGGAUUACAACAUCUGUAGCCUAAUCAGUCCAUCCCAGUUUAUUUAGAUGGACUGGCUGGGGGGACACUGUAGGUAGGUGGGCUGUAGCUGGAGGUUGGUCACUGGAGUGUGCUCUGGAAUAGCUCAUCUCCCUGUGCCCUUUCCCUCUGACCCCUCUUUCUACCUCCAAUUGGCAUGAAUGGAGCAAUAUUCUUCACCACGCCCUUGUACCACAAUACGCUGCUUCACCACAGGCCCAGAGCAAUAGCGUGGCAGUCUGUGGAACUGAAACUCUGAGAUUCUGAGCCCCAAAUAAACCUUUCUUCCUCUGAGUUGUUCUUGUCAGGUGUUUUAGCUAGAGCAACACAAAGCUGACUAAAACAGUAUUCCAAAAAAUAAAAUAAAACAAAGAAAAACAAAGAGAAGUGCUGGUCUGUGUCUCCUACCUUCAAGUGGAGGAGUAGAUUUUAACAUUCACAGUCCAGGCCAUAAGUGGAACUUUCGAACUGGGUCCAGCUGCACCAACACGGGGGGGGGCGGGGGGGUGGGCCUCAGGCUAUCACUGGGCAGAUUUGUCAGUGAAUGUGACCAGUGUGUGAUGCUCCCUUCAAACUGAGAGGGCAAAUUAGACUCAACCUGCCAAAGGCUUGUAACUUUCUUCCAUUUGAUCCUCUAUAUGGGGAAAAAAAGAACUUGUAACUUCACUUUUAUCACAAAAACAUGCCAUUUACUAUAAUAAAUAGAAGUGGUAAAAGAGGGCAUCCCUGUCUUGUUCCAGUUUUUAGAGGGAAUGCUUUCAAUUUUUCUCCAUUUAGAAUAAUGUUGGACUGGGGCUUAGCACAGGUAGCCUUUACAAUGUUGAGGUAUGUUCCUGAUAUCCCUAGUUUUUCUAGUGUUUUGAACAUGAAGGGAUGCUGUAUUUUAAUUGUUUUAAAUUGAUUUAAAUGUUUUUUAUGCAUCUGUUGAUCUCAAUGAUUUUUAAGAGAUUUAUAUGAUCAUAUGAUUUUUAACUUUAAAUCUAUUGAUGUGAUGAAUUACAUUUAUUGAUUUCCGUAUGUUGAACCAAACUUACAUCGCUGGAUGAACCCUACUGAUCAUGGUGCACUAUCUUUUAGAUAUGUUUUUGUAAUCAAUUUGCCAGAAUUUUAUUGAGAAUUUUUGCAUCUAUAUUCAUUAGAGAUAUUGGUCUGAAGUUUUCUUUCUUUGGUUUGUCCUAGUCUGGUUUUGGAAUAAGGAUGAUAUUGACCUCACAGAAUGUGUUUGAAAAUGUUCCCUCUUUUUCUAUUUCAUAAAAUAGUUUGAGAAGUAUUAUGUUAGUUCUUCUUUAAAGGUCUUGUAGAACUCAGCUGUGUAUUUAUCCAGUCCUGGGCUUUUCUUGGUUGGUAGACUUCUGAUGGUGUCCUCUAUUCCCUUACUUGAAAUCUAUGUUUAAAUUGUGUAUAUCAGGGGCAGGGGAUAUAGCUCAGUUGAUACAGUGUUUGCCUGCUUGCACAAGGCCCUGGGUUCGAUCCCCAGCACCACCAAAAAUAAAAUAAAUUGUGUGUAUCAUCCUAAUUUAGUUUGGGCAUAUCAUAUGCUUCUAGAAAUUUGUUGAUGCCUUAAAUAUUUUUUUAUUUUAUUGGAGUACAAAUUUUCAAAAUAAUUUCUAAUUCUCUUCUGUAUUUCUGUAGUGUCUGUUGUAAUAUUUCUUUUUUUUAUCACAGAUGAUAGUAAUUUGAGUUUUUUUCUCUCCUCUUCAUUAGCAUGGCUAAUGGUUUAUCAAUUUUACUUAUUUUUUCAAAGAACCUACUUUUUGUUUUGUCAAUUUUUUCAAUUGUUUCUUUUGUUUUCAUUUCAUUGAUUUCGGCUCUGAUUUUAAUUAUUUUCUGUCUUCUACUGCUUUGGGGGUUGAUUUGUUCUUUUUCUAAGGCUUUGAGAAGACAGGAAUGCCCUCUUUCACCACUUCUACUUAACAUAGUUUUUGAAACUCUAGACAGAGCAAUCAGACAGAUGAAAGAAAUUAAAGGGUUAUGGACAGGAAAAUAAGAAUUCUAAUUAUCACUAUUUGAAGAUGAUAUGAUUCUAUACCUAGAAGACCCAAAACAGUCCACCAGAAAUCUCCUAGGACUAAUAAAUGAAUUCAUCAAAGUAGCUGGAUAUAAAUCAGCAUCCAUAAAUAAAAGGCAUUUAUGUACAUCAGUGACAAAUCCUCUGAAAGGGAAACUAGGAAAACCACUCCAUUUAUAAUAGCCUCAAAAAAAAAAUGGGAAUCAACUUCAUGAAAGAGAUGAAAGACCUCUAUAAUGAAAAUUACAGCAUGCUAAAGAAAGAAAUUAAAGAAGUCCUUAGAAGAUGAAAAUAUCUACCUUGUUCUUGGAUAGGCAGAAUUAAUAUUAUCAAAAUGACCACAUUACCAAAAGCACUAUACAGAUUUAAUGCAAUCUCAAUCAAAACCCCAAUGACAUUCCUCAUAGAAAUAGAAAAGGCAAUCAUGAAAUUCAUCUGGAAAAAUAAGAGGCCCAGAAUAGCCAAAGCAAUCCUUAGAAAGAAGAGUGAAGCUGGUGGCAUUACUAUUCUUAAACUAUACCACAGAGCAAUAGUAACAAAAACAGCAUGAUAUUGACACCAAAAUAGACUUGUAGAUAAAUGGUACAGAAUAGAGGACACAGAGACUAACCCAUAUAACGACAGUUAUGUUAGACAAAGGUGCCAAAAAAUAUAUAUUGGAGAAAAGAUAGCCUCUUCAACAAAUGGUGCUGGGAAAACUGGAAAUCCACAUGUAAGAAAAUGAAAUUAAACCUCUAUCUCUCACCAUGCACAAAACUCAACUCAAAGUGGAUCAAGGACCUUGGAAUUAAAUUGGAGAUCUUGCACCUAAUCGAGAAAAAGUAGACCCAAAUCUCCAUCAUGUCGGAUUAGGCCCCAACUUCUUUAAUAAGACUUCUAUAGUGCAAGAAUUAAAACCAGGAAUCAGUAAAUGGGAUAGAUUCAAACUAAAAAGCUUCUUCUCAGCAAAAAGAAACAAUCAGUGAGGUGAACAGAGAGCCUACACAAUGAGAGCAGAUCUUUACCUCAAGGACAUCAGAUAGAGCACUAAUCUCUAGAAUAUGUAAAGCACUACGAAACCUUAACACCAACCUCCCCCCCACCAAUAACCCAAUCAAUAAAUAGGCCAAGGAACUCAACAGACACUUCUCAGAAGAGGAUAUACAAUCAAUUAACAAGCAUGAAAAAAUGUUCAACAUCUCUAGCAAUUGAAGAAAUGUAAAUCAAAACUACAUUGAGAUUUCAUCUCAUUCCAGCCAGAAUGGCCACUAUCAAAAAUACAAACAAUAAUAAGUGUUGGUGAGGAUAUGGGGGAAAAGGCAAACUCAUACAUUGUUGGUGGGACUGCAAAUUGGUGCAACCACUCUGGAAAGCAGUAUGAAGAUUCCUUGGAAAACUUGGGAUAGAACCACCAUUUGACCUAGCUAUCCCACUCCUAGGUCUAUACCCAAAGGACUUAAAAGCAGCAUACUACAGGGACACAGCCAUAUCAAUAUUUAUAGCCGCACAAUUCACAAUAGCUAAAUUGUGGAAACAACCCAGAUGCCCUUCAGUAGAUGAAUGGGUAGGGAAACUUUGGUAUAUAUACACACUGGAACAUUAUUCAGCAUUAAAAGAGAAUAAAAUCAUGACAUUUGCAGGUAAAUGGAUGGAGUUAGAGAAGAUAAUGCUAAGUGAAGUAAGCCAAUCCCCAAAAAACCAAAGGCUGAAUGUUUUCUUUGAUAUGAGGAUGCUGACUCAUAAUGAUGAUUGGGCGGGGAGCAUGGGAGGAAUGGAGGGGCUUUAGAUAGGGCAAAGGGGAGGGAGGGGAAGGAAGGGGGUAAAGGGGUAGGAAUAAUGGUGGAAUGAGUUGGACAUCAUUAAGCUAAGUACAUGUAUGAAGACACGAAUGGUGAGAAAAUAUUUUGUAAACAAUUACUGACUUGAAAAAUUGUGCUCUUUAUGUGUAAUAGGAAAUGAAUUGCAUUCUGCCAUUGUGCAUAACAAAUUAGAAUAAAUAAAUAAUUUAAUUAAAAAAACAUGCCAUUUACAUAUUAGCUGGCGCAUUAGUUUCUAGGGCUGUCACAACAGAGUAGCACAGAUGGCUUAAAAACAGCAGUGCAUUGUCUCCCAAUUCUGAGAUCAAGGUUGAUUUCUCCUGAGGCCUCUCUCUUUGGCUUAUAGAUCCCCACCUUCUCCCUAUAAGUAUCUUGUGUCCAAAUCUCCUCUUAUGAGAAUACAAGUCAUGUUGGAUUAGGGCCCAACCUCUGUACCUCAUUUUAACUUUACCUCUUUAAAGACCUUAAGCCCAAAUAUAAUCAUAUUCUUAGGUACUCAUGGUGAGGAUUUCAACUCAGCUGGUAGGGGGGGGGGCGACAAAAUUCAGUCCACAGCAUGUUGUAGUACUUAAAAUUUUCCUCCUACAAUUUUGUUAAAGACUUUUGUUUCUAUCAAAGGAAAAAAGCUUUAAGUUAGAGAGACAUUCUCUGAUUUACAAUACCAAGAAGGCACUUCCUGUUGAAAUUACUUUUUCCUAAGGGAAUGUCCUGGACACUUUCCUUGGGAUUUCAUUAAGAGCAAUAAGUCUUGUGUUGCAACCAUUUCUUGCCUGGCCCUGGGCUGAGUAUAACUAUUAUGUUUUGUUUAGCUCAACAAAGACAGAGCAGUUGCCCAUUUGAUUCUAUUACUCUUCCUAGAGCAAAUAGGUAGAGAUGGUUGGCAAUGAUUUAGGGGAUGGCAGAAAUUGGUUAUUAGGUUGCAGGCAAAUUGUGUGUUCUCUGGGGCUGAUGUGACCAUCAAGCCGCCCCUGCUGAUCCAGAGCUCUGGCCCUGGGUUUCUUCCCAGCAGAUUGGAUGGGAAAUUUCCCAUCCACCCAGCACUGCCUCUGGUACUCAGAAUACUCUGGGCAUUCCCAGAAAACCUGCAACAGAAUAAUUUACAUACCAGCAUGUUCUCAAACUUUCGCUUCUAGAAACCACCAGUCUCUGUGUGGAGCCAAAUUGGGUGAACGAUGAGGUAUCAAACCAAGCAACCCUGCAAUAGUCCAAACAGCGACUGUGCCAAGAGAGUUAUCAUGUUGUUCUCAGGCAGAGUUUAGAAUUUGCCACUGAAGAUCUUUCCAAGUGAUGUUUUGUGAAACUGUGAACAAUGUCAGUGGGUCUGUAAUAAUUAUGUGACCCUAAAGGUCACAGUCCUCAAUGUAUUUGUACAGUGUUUACUUCAAAAAAUAAAAAUUUCUGGUUUCUUUUUCUACUAACAAAUAAAGAGUAACGAACAUUUUUGAGGAGCUGCUCUGAUCCCAAAGAUCUGCUCAGCACCAAAGAAGGAAAGUGCAGCAUUCCUAGCCUCUAUGCAAUAGAUGCAAAACCAGACUUGGGUACAGGGCGACCAGUGUUAUCAUUUAUGCACUCCUGUCUGAGCUGAGUGGGGGCGAGGCAGCUUAUAAAGCCUCUGUCUUCCCCUGGAGUGGAGAGACAGCUAGGCGUGGGUGGGAGAGAAAAGAAAAUCAGCCAUCUGCCCAAUCUUGACAAGAUCUCAUUCCAGAGAUGGAUAUCUUUACUUUUUGCUCUUGUGAAACUCCAAGUUGAAAGAACUAAACUUGGGUUCUGUCUUAGUCCGUUCUCCAGGGUAUUUAUUAAUUCAUGAUUUUGUAGACUUAAAGUCCAAAUAGUAUCAUGUAGGCUCUGGAGAGGGCUUUGUGGUGGAUAGAACAUACGUGGGAUGGAGAGAUCACAUAGUGAGACUGGAAGCCAGAGAGAAGUGGGAGGGGACAGUUGUGUACUUUUAUAACAAUGUCUUCUUGAGAAUGAACCAGGGUCCAAGGGAAGCCUCCUUAAUGACCCCCCACCUCUUAAAAGUCCCACUGACUCCCAACAUUGCCCCAUUGGGGAUGAAGUCUCCAACACAUGAACCCUUGGGGGACACGCUCAAACCACAUUCAAAUCACUGGAAAUGCAUUCUGAUGUCAAGUGAGAGAAGUGGCCUACCUGAAGUCAUUGGAAGACUCUAGUCUCCCCCAGUCCAGAUACACAAGUCCCUGUGCACAGACCCAGCCAGCAGCCUCUGGAUUCCUUGUUCUCCUCUGCUGGCCCUUCCAUCCAUUAGGAGUUUGAGGUCCAAUGGCUGUCAGGACAAUGGGCCUAGGCUUGACUGAAAGCAUGCCCCUGUACACUCAGCUCCUGCGGGUGGUGAUGGAGACCAAGAAGAGACAACUGCUUGGUGGAGGUAGCUGAGGCAUGUCUUGGGUCCUUCCCAGACAUGAUCUCCUGUCACACUCUCUAUGCUCUGUUUCUCCUUCCCCCCCAGGGUCAUCAUGGGAAGCAAGUAUUCAUUAUGCAUUCCAUAAUCUGGACUAUUUUAGGGCCAUAGAAGUUAUGUUGAUGAAGAACCUUUUAGCUUCCUGUAGAAUAAUUAAAAAGGACAGACUAUAUGACUGAGGUCAUUUUAGAAUCCCAAUGAUGUCUAAAUAUAUACUUUAAACAAAUAAAGUAGGAAAAUGUCAACUUAUUUCUGAGUAUGGGGUGUUGAUUUUUCCCUAUCCUUCUAUAUUGUCUGAAUUUUGUAUAAAUAGGGAAAAUGAAUUAUUUGAAAGGUGGAAAGUUCAUCCAGACAAGUAUCAAAGCAUUCUCUGGCUUUGUGGAUAACUUUAAGGCAUUAGGUCUCCCAUAGGGUACAGAUUAAUGUCUUCUUUACCCCCUGUGCUUCUAUUGCUUUCUGGCUGGACUGUAAACCAGAGGAAGAGCCACAGCCAUCAACCAACAAUGUGGGGAACUAACAUAGACCCCAACUGAAAUUGGCUCUUAAAAGUGCUCCUAAAGUUCUGGCACUUGAAGAACUUAACUACUGAAGGAGUGUUUAUUGAGCAAGUGCUAUAUUCUAUGCACAGCUCUGGGAAUAAACCAAAUCCCUGCCUUCAUUUCCAACUUUUCUUCUCUGUUAAAUAGCAUUUGUCUUCUCUUUGAUAUUCAUUCUCUCACUGUCUCUAUGGCAGGGCAGGGAGAAGGAAAGAGCUAACCCUAAAGCUAGCUGACCUUCAUGAUUAUGUCAGUGAAUCCUCAUAAAGUAUCCAGGUAAGGAUUUUACAAGACAGGUUACAAGCUCAGAGAGUGUGAUAGUGGCUUUCUAUUGCUAUUAUUGGCUUCUAAAGAGAAAAGGAUUAUUUUGGCUUAUGGUUUUAGAGUUUCCAGUAAAUGAUCAGGCUAACCAACAACUUAAGCUUCUGGUGGUAAUGCCAGAAGGCACUGAUACGGAGUGCACAGCAGAGAAAAACUGCUCACAUCUUGGACAGGAAGCAAAGUCAGUAAGGGGGAAGGGCCACUCUCCUUUUCAAUGGUUCACCCUCAAUGACCCAAAGACCUCCUACUAGGCCCCACCUCUUUAAGUUUCCACACCUCACAAUAGACCAAACUAAGGACCAAACCUUUAAAAAAUUAGCCUUUGGGAUACGUGUAAGACUGAAACUAUAGCAGAGAGAUUAAGUAAUUUAUUCACAGUCACACAACAAUUAAGGGGCAGAGCAUGACUAAGCCCAUGUCUUUCCUGAGAAACUAUCUUACCACUUUAAAGCAGCAUAAAAAAAAAAAAAUCAGAUCCUUUUAUUCCAGACCCAGCUUUGUAUUUCCUCAAUUUUAGUAAAACAGGCAGACCUAGGAAUUCGCCAGAAUCUUUAGAUGUAUCAGUUUUAAGGUUUGUUUUCAUUCUUGGUUCCAUUUUUAAUGUCCACAGAUAACAAAAGAGCAGUAAGAAUUCCCUAUACUUUAUUUUCUCUCUUUGUUCAUCUUUAGGCCUCAGUAACCAGUUAUUUUCUGUGACAUGUCAGAGAUCAACUUCAUGGACAGAAAUUCAAUGAGCUGAUUUGAAUUUGAGGAACUCAGGGCCCUGCUCAUGCUGGGGGCUUGGCUGGCUAGUGUUGGUCUUCUAUCUUCCCUUCCAGCUCCUUUCUUCUCUUCAUUUCCUUCUGCCUGGGGCACUCUGCCAAGCUACUUUCUAUCUCUGAGCUCUGCACCUGCUUUCCUAAAGGGGGAAGCUCUGUGGCUGGCCCUCUUGGGGCUGGCUUGUCAUGGCCCCCAUUUCAGCUCAUAAGCUGUCCUUAGCAGUGGCCCUCCCUGAUCCUCAGCUAAAGGAAAUCACCCCAACCAGCCACUCUCCUCCCUCCCUCUGUCUCUCUCUCUCUAUAUUUUUUCAUAUCAUUAAUCACUACUUGCAAUUCCAUAAGCUCCGUGAUUGUUUGGGUCCCUGAGCAACUAGAACAGUACUUGGCAUAUAAGAGGCUCUUGGAAAUGGUGUGAAUGUUUUGAAUUAGGAACUGAGCUCCAGGGGACACGGAGGUAACUUUGUUCCAACACAUCUAGCCUCCAGCCAGAAAUGGCAGGGUUGGGGCAAUGAGAUGAGAGAUAAUAAAACCAAAACAUCAUUGUCAGAAACAAGGUCACCUUUGCAAUCUCUGGAAAUCUCCACUCAUUUUGUCUGUGCCUCAUCUCUCAUUUCAUCUGGGAUCUGAAUCUGACCUUUGAAUUGGCCACAGGAUUUUUUUUUUUAACCAUUAAACUCAGGAGCACCCAGCCACUGAGCCACAUCCCCAGCCCUAUUUUAUAUUUCAUUUAGAGACAGGGUCUCAUUGAGUUGCUUAGGACCUCACAAAAUUCCUGAGGCUGGCUUUGAACUCACAAACCUCCUGCCUCAAGCCGCUGGGGUUACAGGUGUGCGCCACUGCACCUGGUACAGGAUCAGUUUUGUCCAUGAAAGGAAGGACCAAAUCACUGUGGCAUGACUAGACAGACUUAUUAUUUUUUUCCCAUACUGGGAUCCAUGUCUCCUGGAGCCCAAAGCGACCACCUGCCAUUACGUUUUGCUUUGUUUUCCUCAUUUGAACUGAACCCCUUCCCGAUGGCACCUUUGCUCAGCUUUCUGGGCUCCAGGCCAAUUCCACCUGUUGCAAAAGGCAAACUGAUCACCUUUCGCGAUGACACAAGAAGGGAACUGAAGUCAGAGAGUGACCCAGUUACAAUGUUUGUGCUCUGUUCCAGAGAGAAAACCAAAGCUGAAAUCCAGUAACCACUGAUAGGAAGAUCUGGAGAUAGACACUGACCUGAAUUCUGAAUAACAACCAGAGAGAAGGAAGUCUGAGAACGUGCUGGCCUUCCUCCAAAACCUGUUUAUUGUGUGAAUUCCUAGAAGACAGCAAGGCACCGAGAAACAGACUGGAGUGGCUUACACAAGCGAUUACGCUACUGAGAUCUGCAAAAGCAGGAAAACAAACUCAGCAGAUAGAGGUCAGAGUCCAGCCUUGGUGGGCCAAGUUUAUGUGUUUGUUUUGCUGUUAAGUUCCUGUUGAACUAUUAAACCCUAUGAAGAGAUCAAAAGUUUAAUAAGCAUCUCCAUUUACAACUUGCCUCCAAGCAAUCGUAGCAACAGCACUUAUCCCCCAUCAUGGGACUCGCCCACCAGAAUGAAACUCAUCUAAUUGCCUAUCUUCUAAGGCCAGAGUACUAGAACAUUCUGGUGGCCUGACCUAGAUUCCUGCUCACGUCUCUGAGAUGCAACAGGAGAAGUUUGGAGAGCUUAGAUAUUACAGAACUGGAGUAUACAUGGGAAGGCAGUAAAGGGUGUGUUGGGUCUACCAAGGUGCUACAGGCUGUGGAAAUGCAGUAGUAAAGGAGCCAGGCAUAGCAGCUGUCACCAUGGAGAUAUCAUCUCCAUUCUGGGACAGAUGACCCGCAUGCCCUGAGGUCUACAGCUGAGACUCCUCUCUUGGAGACAAUUGUACUUCAGGUCACACUUGGGUGUGAUAAGAAGACAUGGCAUCUAAAGAUUCUCACAAUUACAUUUUUCUCAGUGAGGAAUCAAUACAAGGGAAUUCCCCCAACACACACAUCAUGUCAUCAAGUAAGGAAGUUCUUUUUCUGAAACAUUGGACUAAACAAGAUCUCUCAAUGGAAACUUAAGACACAUGAGCAAGCCCAACCCCAAACAUUACUUAAACAGCCCCUUGUCUAUGAUUUUUUUUUUAACUUUGCCUGAAAUUUAUUUUAAAAAAGAGCUUAAUUCCUAGAUUUAUAAGAAUAAGAACAUUUUUUUUUUCUAAUUCAAAGACUGAAAAGCCAUGUACACUAUUCUUGGUCUGUUCCUACUGCUUGCAAUAAAAUGUUUAGGUUUCAAAGUGAUAUUUAUUUGGACAUUAAAGAGACAAUGUGAG